CCACGAUUGCCCAGACUGGCCCUGGGGGCGGGCCGUCGAGGGGCGGGGCGAAUCGCCCCGUUACGGGGACCGAUCAGGGACAAAGUCGGUUGGUGGACGCACGUGUCCUGCUGCUGUAGGCCUCCGCGCUACCCCAAUGGAGCGGGGGCGGAGAGACCGGUGCCCGGGAGCCGGAGCGGGGUUCGCGUGGUCCGGGCAACGCGGCGUAGGGAGAGCCUGCGGAAAGCGGCGGUCGGGCGGAAGCCGGUGGGGCCCCAGGCGGCGGAAGACAAGCUCCUUAAGGGGCCUCCGCAGAGCUCCAUCCUCAGUGCGCCUGCGAUCUUCGUGCCGCAACAGGAGAAGGCUAGAUGAGUUUCCCAGCCAGAUGCCCUCCCUGUCCAACAGCAGUGGACCGGCCACCAGCUGCACCUCCCACAGCACCCCAUAGAGGCUCUGCUGGAACGAGAAGAGGAAGUGGGUAAAAGGCAUCCACUCUGCUCCGUCCAGCCCAGGCCAGCAUUUGGCAAGCUUGUGUACUUUUAUAUAAAAAGGAAUGGCUUUGAGAAUAGUCUUGCAUUUAAAAACCAGUUUCAAAAAAAUAAAAUCAGUUUCAUUUAA
Molecule: long non-coding RNA, 597 nt
Organism: Canis lupus familiaris (dog)
Lineage: Eukaryota; Metazoa; Chordata; Mammalia; Carnivora; Canidae
Exons: 2
Source: RefSeq, a predicted model, not a curated record